RNAcentral lists this ribosomal RNA (482 nucleotides) under uncultured Gammaproteobacteria bacterium. Its description in RNAcentral is "bacterial SSU rRNA". It matches the Rfam family "Bacterial small subunit ribosomal RNA", at positions 8 to 485 of the family's 1533-position model. The record is from RNAcentral. Lineage: Bacteria; Pseudomonadati; Pseudomonadota; Gammaproteobacteria.
AGAGUUUGAUCCUGGCUCAGAUUGAACGCUGGCGGCAGGCCUAACACAUGCAAGUCGAACGGUAACAGCAGAGCUUGCUCUGGCUGACGAGUGGCGGACGGGUGAGUAACGCGUAGGAAUCUACCCAGUAGUGGGGGACAACUUGGGGAAACUCAAGCUAAUACCGCAUACGCCCUACGGGGGAAAGCGGGGGACCUUCGGGCCUCGUGCUAUUGGAUGAGCCUGCGUUAGAUUAGCUAGUUGGUAGGGUAAAGGCCUACCAAGGCGACGAUCUAUAGCUGGUCUGAGAGGAUGAUCAGCCACACUGGAACUGAGACACGGUCCAGACUCCUACGGGAGGCAGCAGUGGGGAAUAUUGCACAAUGGGCGCAAGCCUGAUGCAGCCAUGCCGCGUGUGUGAAGAAGGCUCUAGGGUUGUAAAGCACUUUAAGCAGGGAGGAAGUCCAGUUAGUUAAUAUCUGANGGAUUGACCUACCUGCAGA